Molecule: non-coding RNA, 2907 nt
Organism: Meleagris gallopavo (turkey)
Lineage: Eukaryota; Metazoa; Chordata; Aves; Galliformes; Phasianidae
Source: RefSeq, a predicted model, not a curated record
AGGAUGUCUGUCACAUUCUGGAAUCCACACUGAUGAUGCAGUUGCUGUGUCAGAGCAGUUGGCAGAGUCACAGGGGGAACUGUGACGUAGUUGCCCCAGGGAGCGUACAACAAGGUCCGCACUGCUCAGCCAGCCCAGGCCAAAGGACAGCACAAGAGUGAGCAGAGGCAGAGGAGAGAGGGGAGGAAAGAGUGCAACGAAGGAAAGGCCUGGGCCCUGGGCAAGGAAGCAGGGGGGGCUGUGAUGCAACACACUGUGCAUCCUCCUCCUUCAUUUUUUAGUGCCAGAGGCCAAGAGGACAAUGUGGCAAGACCUUGGAACACUCCCGUCUUAUGCUGCUCAGAUGGAGAGGUGUUCCACAUUCGAAAAGAACAUUGAUACAAAGAUAAGUAAUCAAAAUAACACCAGCCUGAAUGUACCUGUAGGCAUGAGCUGCUGACAAGAAACGUGGUGAUACCAUGGGCAUGGCAGAGCAGGUACAAUGUUGGCAGUUCCCUGUGUCACACAGGCACAAGAGAAACAGCCAGCAUUGAGAUAUCAAAAGAACUGCUGCACAACUCGGACAGCUCAGCAGAAUAGUGCAGAAUAGUGAGCUGAUGCUGAGGUGAAAGAGCAGGAGAUCGCAAAGAGAGGAAGGCCUGGGACGUUAUCUAGGAGGUUGGGCUGGCUGUCUUACAAUUGAAUAUGUGUCCUCCUCCUUUGCCUUUGAGUGCCAGACACCUAGAGAAGACCGAGAAAACAUCUUGGACCCCUACUGUCCUCCACUGCUCACAUGGUGAGAUGUCCCACCCUCUAUACGGACAUCAGUCCAAAGAUAUGUAUUAAAAACAACUCCAGGCUGGCUGUACUUGUACGCAUCAGCUGCUGGCAACAGCCUCUAUGCUGUAAUGGGCAUGGCACAAGAGGUACAAUGUUUGCAUUUCCCUGUGUCACACAGGCCCUGGUGACUUGACAGCCACAGGGAGAUCACAAAGAGUUGCAACCCUUUGCCAGAUUAGGCAAAGCUGAGAGGGAUGUGGUUUCAAUGCUGCCAUGUGAUGGCAGGAAGAACUGUGAGGAAGGGAAAGGUGGGGGUUUGCCAAUGGCAGGGAAACAGAUCUGUUUUUGAUGCACUCUUUUCUUUGAGGGCCAUAAAAAAAGAAAAGACCGUGCCCACACCUUGGUCCCCUCCUGUCCUCUGGAGCCCAGCUGGUGAGAUGUCCCACCUUCUGCAAGCACAUCAGUACAAAGAUAUGUAUUCAACAUAACUCCAGACUGGCUGUACUUGUGGGCAUCAGCUGCUGGAAACCGUCUUGGUGAUGCCAUGGGCAUGGCUCAAGAGGUACAAUGUUUGUAUUUCCCUGUGUCACACAGGCCCUGGGGAUUUGACAGCCACAGGGAGAUAAUUGAAAGAGUUGCAACCACCUGCCAGAUUAGGCAAAGAUGCUUAGAAGAGACUGUGCCCACACCUUGGUCUCCUCCUGUCCUCUGGUGCUCAGCUGGAGAGACGUCCCACCUUCUACAAGGACAUCAGUACAAAGAUAUGUAUCCAACAUAACUGCAGCCUGGCUGUACUUGUGGGCAUCAGCUGCUGGCUACUGCCUCUGUGCUUCCAUGGGCAUGGCACAAGAGGUAGAAAGUUUGCAUUUCCCUGUGUCACACAGGCCCUGGGGAUUUGACAGCCACAGGGAGAUAAUUGAAAGAGUUGCAACCACCUGCCAGAUUAGGCAAAGAUGCUUAGAAGAGACUGUGCCCACACCUUGGUCUCCUCCUGUCCUCUGGUGCUCAGCUGGAGAGACGUCCCACCUUCUACAAGGACAUCAGUACAAAGAUAUGUAUCCAACAUAACUGCAGCCUGGCUGUACUUGUGGGCAUCAGCUGCUGGCUACUGCCUCUGUGCUUCCAUGGGCAUGGCACAAGAGGUAGAAAGUUUGCAUUUCCCUGUGUCACACAGGCCCUGGGGAUUUGACAGCCACAGGGAGAUAAUUGAAAGAGUUGCAGCCACCUGCCAGAUUAGGCAAAGAGCCAUAAGCCAAGAAGAGACCGUGCCCACACCUUGGUCCCCUCCUGUCUUCUGGUGCUCAGCUGGAGAGAUGUCCCACCUUCUACAUGGAAAUCAGUCCAAAGAUAUGUAUUCAGCGUAACUCCAUGCUGGCUUUACUUGUGGGCAUCAGCUGCUGGAAACCGUCUUGGUGAUGCCAUGGGCAUGGCUCAAGAGGUACAAUGUUUGUAUUUCCCUGUGUCACACAGGCCCUGGUGACUUGACAGCCACAGGGAGAUCACAGAAAGAGUUGCAACCACCUGCCAGAUUAGGCAAAGUGGCCUUGAUUGGAAUUGCUCAUAUCCUGUUCCCGUCCUGUCCUCUGGUGCUCAGCUGGAGAGAUGUCCCCCGUUCUACAAGUACAUCAGUUCAGGGCAAUGUAAUCAAAAUCAUAGCUUCCUGUUUGUGAUUUUAAGCAUCUGCACCACACUCUGUGAUGCAUUACCCAUGUCUUAUUGGGCAUAUUCUGGAUUGUGGCUUAGUAACUUUGAUAGCAUAGGGCAGUUUUCCUCUGGCUGCCAUGAGAUAUGGAAUUGAUAGUCUUGAACUGCGUUAAGAGUUGUACUUAGGAAUGGACUGCUGCUUAUCCUUUUGUUGGUUCACAUCAUCCUGAUUUUGAAAGACACAGAUCCCUCCUGCUCACACUCUUCUUUGACUCUGCCAGUGGUUUCUGCAGCCACCUCUAAAGUCACAGACUUAAGAAGCGGGAAACAGCCUCAGACUCUACCUCACCAUGGCCUUUCACUCAGCUAGAAACUCCCCAUCGCUCUGGACAGAGGAAGAUCUUCAUCACUUGCUCACAUUACAAUUUUAUGUUUCAUAAAUAUGUUGCCUAUAUCUUCUGAUCUGUACUGUUUUUGUGGGGGAAAGACAUAUGAGCCUUUAUU